This 235-nucleotide ribosomal RNA is filed under the name uncultured bacterium. RNAcentral's name for it is "partial 16S ribosomal RNA". It matches the Rfam family "Bacterial small subunit ribosomal RNA", at positions 120 to 354 of the family's 1533-position model. The record is from RNAcentral.
AGCAAUCUGCCUUGGAGUGGGGAAUAACGGCUGGAAACAGCCGCUAAUACCGCAUGAAGCAGCUGGGAGGCAUCUCCCUGGCUGUCAAAGAUUUAUCGCUCUGAGAUGAGCUCGCGUCUGAUUAGCUAGUUGGCGGGGUAACGGCCCACCAAGGCGACGAUCAGUAGCCGGACUGAGAGGUUGGCCGGCCACAUUGGGACUGAGACACGGCCCAGACUCCUACGGAAGGCAGCAG